RNAcentral lists this long non-coding RNA (1511 nucleotides) under Podarcis lilfordi (Lilford's wall lizard). Lineage: Eukaryota; Metazoa; Chordata; Lepidosauria; Squamata; Lacertidae. The record is from RNAcentral.
GAGAAGGAGCACGCGUGGGGUGUGUGGAGAAGGAUGCUGCUAAUAAUGCAGGAGAGGGGUUUAAGGGGAGAAGGAGCACGCGUGGGGUGGGCGGAGAAGGAUGCUGCUAAUAAUGAAGAAGAAGGGGUAUAAGGGGAGAAGGCUCCUCUCCCCUCCCGCUUUGCUCCUUUAAAGCAAGCAGGCUCUGCUUUUCUCCCUCCUCCCCGCUCAUCCCCGGCUUAGUGAGCAGAAAAACUUUGCUGCUAUUUAGCGAGCUGAGUGGGGAGGAGAGAGGGACAGAGAGCCUGCUUGCUUUAAAGGAACCAACCGGACAGGAGCCGCUUACACUGGUAUAAGCGGCUCCUCUCCUUUCCUGCUUUGCUCCUUUAAAGAAGCAGGCUCUCUGUCCCUCUCUCCUCCCCACUCAGCGGCUCUUCUCCCGCUUUGCUGUUUCAAAGCGAGCCACGGAGGAGGGAAGGAAGGGGAACCAUGGAUCCUCUGCUCACGACUGCAGCAGAUCCCCCCCGCCACCCGUAGGCAUUCCCUCCAUAACACGCACAGACAUUUCCCCUUACUUUCUAGGAGGAAAAAAGUGAGUGUUAUGGUGCAAAAAAUACGGUACUUAGUUCCUGAGCCAGGUCACAGGCUCACCCUAUUCAUACACAGACAUACCCUUAAGACAGGAUUUGUGAAUGAAAAGACAAUGGGGAGGCUUUUCCAUUUUCCUUGACCUUGCAGAGAAAUCAUUUGGUCAGUUUGGGAGUCAAAAUGGUUUCAGGGCUGUUUUCCUGUGUUGCUUCAGACAUGUGGUUUAUAUAUUUAUGUACGUGUUUGCUUGGUACAUUUAUGAACACUAUAUAUGUGUGUGUGUAUAUAUAUGACCUUAAAUUUUUUAUUUCAUAACCCUCUCCUUCUCUGACAGGUUGAGAUGCUGCUGGAGGCCUUCUACAAGAUCACCGAGGGCCCUACAGUAGAGGGCAGAAAAGUGGCCAUCUGCCCUUUCUCCACCUUACCAUCGCCUGGAGAAAGUGGUUGAGUACCUCCUCCAAUUUCCUAUUGAGUAUGGGGCACUCAAACUUCUACUGGACUAAGAGAUGUUGGGAAUCUGUGGGGUACACAAAGGAAGGGAUGUAGAAGAGGACAGAGGAAGAACACGUUUAACAAAGCCCAAGGCUUGAGAUGUCUGCAGGCAAGUCAUGUCUUGUUGGGGCCAAGCUGACCUUCUUUGCCCAUAGCUGUACUUGGACAGAGCUGCAGCAAAUGAUCCAGCCGUCCUUCAUCCCUGGCUGAUGCAGCAGGAGAGAGCAGGCUUUACUUCAGCCCUGCAGUCCCAGAGCAAGUGCUGACUGAAGCCCCUUUUUCUAUUGGCAGGGAUGGAGAUAAACAAGCACAAUUAUUGUUGUUGUUGUUGUUGUUAAUUUAUUAUUUGUACCCUACCCAUCUGGCUGAGUUUCCCCAGCCACUCUGGGCGGCUUCCAACAAAGAUUAAAAAUACAUUAAAAUGUCACACAAUAAAAACUUCCCUGAACAGG